GAAGCUGGCUGCCUGAGAAUAAGAAAAUACAGUAUGUGAGCACUUGGAGGAGAAACUGUAGGGUGCAAUAGUGGAAGGGAGGAGGAUUUUGAGCAAAAGAAGAAACUUGUGUUGUUAGGAGCUGCGACAACGCUAUUCAUUGCCUGAGUAGCCAAGCAUGUUAAGGUUUCUGCUGGAAAGGAAGACACCACUUUCUAGGAAUAUCUCUGUGAAAUGGCUCACACAGACUGUGGACGAGGGAAGGAGGAUGCUACGGAUGCAUGGUCUCUCCAAGACACCAACCGAAUCCAGCAUCUGUGUAGAGAGAAGAGAUUCAGCCCCAAGAUGAGCUCCAGGAAUCUAGGAUGUACUCAGGGAGAUGAAGACUACAGCCUACUCAUUCAGUCACUUUAUGCUCCCCUCUUUCUCCUCUCACUCUCUCAGUACAGUGCGUUACAGAACAACAAAGGGAGAAAAGGAAAUGAAGACCAUGAGCCUUACAUAAUAAAUAUUUACUGAGAAGUACCUGGAUCCUAUGAGAAAUAUAUACCUUAUGAGAAAAAGCCAUGCUCUUCAACCUGGCAAAGGCCUUCUCCAGGAUUUAAGUGAUUUCCAGUGCCUUACAAGAAUUCUUCUCAUGUGUGGAGGAGAAGUUCAUCACCCUAAAUGGAUGUGGUACAGUGCCUCAGAGGAAAUUGCAACGAAAGUGAAAUCCAAAGAAUUCCAAGAUCCUGCAGAUCAUGCUCCAUUCGUUUGUGUACUUCCCCCUACUCAGUCUUUAAUCCCACAGUGUAGCAAUUUCCAAAGGGAGCUCAAUGCAUAGAUCCCAGGCCGCUUCAUCUGAACUCAUGGUUGUAUGAACCUCAGUGUCCAUAUCCUACUGAAACCCUGCCCAGAGGAAAGCAUGUGUUUUCUCAGAACUACUUAUUUUGCUCUUAGAUUAUUUUCUUAAAUUUUACUCUUUGAUAUUUAUUGACCUUGAUAAUAUACUAAACUUUUUUUGUUUGUUUGUAUUUUAUUGUGGUUAUGUUCUCCUUAAGGUCCAUUACAGUGUUGGAAAACAGUAUAUUCUCUAAAUAAAGAAGAGAAAAAUUUAAAUCAAAAGU
This 1085-nucleotide long non-coding RNA is filed under the name Mus caroli (Ryukyu mouse). RNAcentral describes it as "lncRNA (MGP_CAROLIEiJ_G0005826.1)". Lineage: Eukaryota; Metazoa; Chordata; Mammalia; Rodentia; Muridae. The record is from RNAcentral.